UACGUAGGGGGCAAGCGUUAUCCGGAUUUACUGGGUGUAAAGGGCGUGCAGCCGGAGAGACAAGUCAGAUGUGAAAUCCACGGGCUCAACCCGUGAACUGCAUUUGAAACUGUUUCCCUUGAGUGUCGGAGAGGUAAUCGGAAUUCCUUGUGUAGCGGUGAAAUGCGUAGAUAUAAGGAAGAACACCAGUGGCGAAGGCGGAUUACUGGACGAUAACUGACGGUGAGGCGCGAAAGCGUGGGGAGCAAACAGG
Molecule: ribosomal RNA, 253 nt
Filed under: uncultured bacterium
Lineage: Bacteria
Description: partial 16S ribosomal RNA
Rfam family: Bacterial small subunit ribosomal RNA
Source: RNAcentral